RNAcentral lists this microRNA (23 nucleotides) under Petromyzon marinus (sea lamprey). Its description in RNAcentral is "pma-miR-17a-3p". Its record names the gene pma-miR-17a-3p. Lineage: Eukaryota; Metazoa; Chordata; Hyperoartia; Petromyzontiformes; Petromyzontidae. The record is from miRBase by way of RNAcentral.
ACUGCAGUGCAAGCACUUGUAGC